This 445-nucleotide ribosomal RNA is filed under the name uncultured bacterium. RNAcentral describes it as "bacterial SSU rRNA". It matches the Rfam family "Bacterial small subunit ribosomal RNA", at positions 331 to 793 of the family's 1533-position model. The record is from RNAcentral.
CCAGACUCCUACGGGAGGCAGCAGUGGGGGAUAUUGCACAAUGGGGGGAACCCUGAUGCAGCGACGCCGCGUGGGCGAUGGAGUGCUUCGGCAUGUAAAGCCCUAUCAGCAGGGAAGAAAAUGACGGUACCUGACUAAGAAGCCCCGGCUAAAUACGUGCCAGCAGCCGCGGUAAUACGUAUGGGGCAAGCGUUAUCCGGAUUUACUGGGCGUAAAGGGAGCGUAGGCGGCCUGGCAAGCCUGAUGUGAAAUACCGGGGCCCAACCCCGGGGCUGCAUUGGGAACUGCCAGGCUGGAGUGCCGGAGAGGCAGGCGGAAUUCCCGGUGUAGCGGUGAAAUGCGUAGAGAUCGGGAGGAACACCAGUGGCGAAGGCGGCCUGCUGGGCUUUAACUGACGCUGAAGCACGAAAGCGUGGGUAGCAAACAGGAUUAGAUACCCGCGUAA